RNAcentral lists this small RNA (1021 nucleotides) under Histoplasma ohiense. RNAcentral's name for it is "hypothetical lncRNA". Lineage: Eukaryota; Fungi; Ascomycota; Eurotiomycetes; Onygenales; Ajellomycetaceae. The record is from RNAcentral.
UGCCUAUCCGCGGGCGACACAGUGUUUACGUGUGUGGGGGGUUUACUCGGGGCGAUCACAUUCGGACAUUGAUUCGUGAAGUGCCCUGGCUUGUCGCAGUGUAUGCAGACUCCUCUGGUGAUUUGGUCAGCGGCGUCCUUCUCUGAGAUGUUGGGGACCCUUGGGUGACUUGUGUUUACAUGUGGGACCCAGUCCAUUGAUUCUGGUUCGGAGGCGGGGGGCGCUGCAGAGUGGUUUGGGGUGUACACAUUUGUUCGGCGGAAUCCUCUGUGAUUUUGGAGUGCGCGGAACUGAGACAGGUUGUUGUCCAACAGAUGAAGAUCAGCACAGAAUUCACUGUAUGUUGAGGGCUUCAGAUGCUCUACACUUCAGUUAUGCAAUUGGAAGUUCAAGUUCUUGAACAAUAUGUUGAUCUUGACAGUGUUGUCUCAGUCUUGCCCACCUGCUUCUAGGAGCUUGCGAUUGAAUUCAGAAAGAUAAGUUGCCAACACGACAUUCAUCUGAUGAGUUCAAUUAAGCCAGUCUAACACCUUGGCUUGAAGCAUAGGAUUGAGGAAGAGGGAGUUGAGUUGUUGGAAGACUAGCUCUGGUGUACACUGAUGAUCCUGGCAAUGGCUCAUCCAGGGUUGGAAUUUUGCUAAUGCAUCGCCAUCCAACCUGCUAUGGAUAUACCACACUUGAUUGGAUAGUGAGCCUAUUGCUCAUCCAUCGAUGUCCAAUUUGGUGUUCACUUUUGACUUCCACAUGAGGUAGAGUGCUAGGUCUUCCUCAUAUUUGUCGAGGAUUGGAAGCUUCUCUCUUGGGGGCUUUUUGUGAGGCGUGGGUGUAGAAGGAACAGUGAAUGUGGGAGUGCUCAUCUCAGCAAGUCAUUGUUGCAAUUCAGCCAUCUGUAGCAUCUGCUGCUGGAGGAUGCUUCAUAGGUCUAAGUUAUCGUCUGCCGCAUUCGGGUGCGGCGGGUGUUUGUAGAAUUGCUUGUAGUUCAUUUCAAUAUCUAAGAACAUAUAAUAAUAAAAAAAAAAAA